ACGUACACUCCUACGGGAGGCAGCAGUGGGGAAUAUUGGACAAUGGGCGCAAGCCUGAUCCAGCCAUGCCGCGUGAGUGAUGAAGGCCCUAGGGUUGUAAAGCUCUUUCACCGGUGAAGAUAAUGACGGUAACCGGAGAAGAAGCCCCGGCUAACUUCGUGCCAGCAGCCGCGGUAAUACGAAGGGGGCUAGCGUUGUUCGGAUUUACUGGGCGUAAAGCGCACGUAGGCGGACUAUUAAGUCAGGGGUGAAAUCCCGGGGCUCAACCCCGGAACUGCCUUUGAUACUGGUAGUCUUGAGUUCGGGAGAGGUGAGUGGAAUUCCGAGUGUAGAGGUGAAAUUCGUAGAUAUUCGGAGGAACACCAGUGGCGAAGGCGGCUCACUGGCUCGAUACUGACGCUGAGGUGCGAAAGCGUGGGGAGCAAACAGGAUUAGAAACCCUUGUAGUCCCAU
Molecule: ribosomal RNA, 453 nt
Filed under: uncultured organism
Description: partial 16S ribosomal RNA
Rfam family: Bacterial small subunit ribosomal RNA
Source: RNAcentral